AAACCCUCACCCUUGUGAUGUAAAAGUCGCAAGCGGUGGAUUUGGAUUGUGCCGUAGUUGGCUCAUCCUGAAAUGCAUUAGCUUGCGCCUUUUAGAGUGCUCGGCAUGGUGUGAUAAUUAUCUGCACCGUCGCCUCAGGCCUCUUCUGUGAGUGCUGCUUAUAGUCGUCCCACGUGGACAAUAUUUAAAG
This 190-nucleotide unclassified non-coding RNA is filed under the name uncultured fungus. RNAcentral describes it as "sequence contains ITS2". Lineage: Eukaryota; Fungi. The record is from RNAcentral.